RNAcentral lists this ribosomal RNA (115 nucleotides) under Eptatretus burgeri (inshore hagfish). The record is from RNAcentral. Lineage: Eukaryota; Metazoa; Chordata; Myxini; Myxiniformes; Myxinidae.
CUGUGACUUACAAUUUUAAGGCAUCCGAAUCCCUCAUGUCUUGGAAGCCAAGCAGAGUCGAACCCAAUAAGUACUUUGGUGGGAGACCUCCAUGGAAGACGAGGUGUCCUUCAGU